ACUGGAAUUGUUGUUUUUCACAGUCUUUGCAUUCCCAAAUGCUUCUAAAACUGGGUUGGACUCCAAAACUUGUUGCUCGACUGUUCUUCCUUCAGUGCCAGACCUUCCACCCAUAAAUGCGAGAUAUCUCAUUAACAUUUUCGUUGUCUCAGUUUUACCAGCACCACUCUCUCCACUGACCAAGAUAGACUGGUUGCCAUGCUCAUUUAUCAAUGCCCUAUAACAGGCAUCUGCCACUGCAAAAAGAUGUGGACUUAGCUCUCCAAAUGGGGCUCCCUUGUAUUGCUGCAUCAUAUGGGUAUCAUACAGAUGUGGAAGUCUCCGAAAUGGAUUAACCGCAAUCAGGAUAUUCCCUGUGUAAGUAUAUAUCUCAUUUAGA
This 379-nucleotide unclassified non-coding RNA is filed under the name Hevea brasiliensis (rubber tree). Lineage: Eukaryota; Viridiplantae; Streptophyta; Magnoliopsida; Malpighiales; Euphorbiaceae. The record is from RNAcentral.